CCCCUGGUGGUCCAGUGGCUAGGACUCUGUGCUGCCAAUCAGGGGACCUGGGUUCAAUCCCUGGUCAGGGAA
Molecule: transfer RNA, 72 nt
Filed under: Bos taurus (domestic cattle)
Lineage: Eukaryota; Metazoa; Chordata; Mammalia; Artiodactyla; Bovidae
Also listed under: 2 other names
Rfam family: tRNA
About the family: Transfer RNA (tRNA) molecules are approximately 80 nucleotides in length. Their secondary structure includes four short double-helical elements and three loops (D, anti-codon, and T loops).
Source: Rfam by way of RNAcentral